UACGGGGGGGGCAAGCGUUGUUCGGAAUUACUGGGCGUAAAGGGCUAGUAGGCGGCCAUCUUAGUCAGACGUGAAAUCCCUCGGCUCAACCGGGGAACUGCGUCUGAUACUGGAUGGCUCGAAUCCGGGAGAGGGAUGCGGAAUUCCAGGUGUAGCGGUGAAAUGCGUAGAUAUCUGGAGGAACACCGGUGGCGAAGGCGGCAUCCUGGACCGGUAUUGACGCUGAAUAGCGAAAGCCAGGGGAGCAAACGGG
Molecule: ribosomal RNA, 253 nt
Filed under: uncultured bacterium
Lineage: Bacteria
Description: partial 16S ribosomal RNA
Rfam family: Bacterial small subunit ribosomal RNA
Source: RNAcentral